CUGGUCUUGACAUCCACAGAACUUUCCAGAGAUGGAUUGGUGCCUUCGGGAACUGUGAGACAGGUGCUGCAUGGCUGUCGUCAGCUCGUGUUGUGAAAUGUUGGGUUAAGUCCCGCAACGAGCGCAACCCUUAUCCUUUGUUGCCAGCGGUCCGGCCGGGAACUCAAAGGAGACUGCCAGUGAUAAACUGGAGGAAGGUGGGGAUGACGUCAAGUCAUCAUGGCCCUUACGACCAGGGCUACACACGUGCUACAAUGGCGCAUACAAAGAGAAGCGACCUCGCGAGAGCAAGCGGACCUCAUAAAGUGCGUCGUAGUCCGGAUUGGAGUCUGCAACUCGACUCCAUGAAGUCGGAAUCGCUAGUAAUCGUGGAUCAGAAUGCCACGGUGAAUACGUUCCCGGGCCUUGUACACACCGCCCGUCACACCAUGGGAGUGGGUUGCAAAAGAAGUAGGUAGCUUAACCUUCGGGAGGGCGCUUACCACUUUGUGAUUCAUGACUGGGGUGAAGUCGUAACAAGGUAACCGUAGGGGAACCUGCGGUUGGAUCAC
Molecule: ribosomal RNA, 551 nt
Filed under: Shigella sonnei
Lineage: Bacteria; Pseudomonadati; Pseudomonadota; Gammaproteobacteria; Enterobacterales; Enterobacteriaceae
Description: bacterial SSU rRNA
Rfam family: Bacterial small subunit ribosomal RNA
Source: RNAcentral